Molecule: transfer RNA, 85 nt
Filed under: Prevotellaceae bacterium
Lineage: Bacteria; Pseudomonadati; Bacteroidota; Bacteroidia; Bacteroidales; Prevotellaceae
Description: tRNA-Ser
Rfam family: tRNA
About the family: Transfer RNA (tRNA) molecules are approximately 80 nucleotides in length. Their secondary structure includes four short double-helical elements and three loops (D, anti-codon, and T loops). Further hydrogen bonds mediate the characteristic L-shaped molecular structure. tRNAs have two regions of fundamental functional importance: the anti-codon, which is responsible for specific mRNA codon recognition, and the 3' end, to which the tRNAs corresponding amino acid is attached (by aminoacyl-tRNA synthetases). tRNAs cope with the degeneracy of the genetic code in two manners: having more than one tRNA (with a specific anti-codon) for a particular amino acid; and 'wobble' base-pairing, i.e. permitting non-standard base-pairing at the 3rd anti-codon position.
Source: RNAcentral
GGAGAGAUGGCAGAGUGGUCGAUUGCGGCAGUCUUGAAAACUGUUGAGCUGCAAGGCUCCGGGGGUUCGAAUCCCUCUCUCUCCG